CUACGGGAGGCAGCAGUAGGGAAUCUUCCGCAAUGGACGAAAGUCUGACGGAGCAACGCCGCGUGAGUGAUGAAGGUUUUCGGAUCGUAAAGCUCUGUUGUUAGGGAAGAACAAGUGCGAGAGUAACUGCUCGCACCUUGACGGUACCUAACCAGAAAGCCACGGCUAACUACGUGCCAGCAGCCGCGGUAAUACGUAGGUGGCAAGCGUUGUCCGGAAUUAUUGGGCGUAAAGGGCUCGCAGGCGGUUUCUUAAGUCUGAUGUGAAAGCCCCCGGCUCAACCGGGGAGGGUCAUUGGAAACUGGGAAACUUGAGUGCAGAAGAGGAGAGUGGAAUUCCACGUGUAGCGGUGAAAUGCGUAGAGAUGUGGAGGAACACCAGUGGCGAAGGCGACUCUCUGGUCUGUAACUGACGCUGAGGAGCGAAAGCGUGGGGAGCGAACAGGAUUAGAUACCCUGGUAGUCCACGCCGUAAACGAUGAGUGCUAAGUGUUAGGGGGUUUCCGCCCCUUAGUGCUGCAGCUAACGCAUUAAGCACUCCGCCUGGGGAGUACGGUCGCAAGACUGAAACUCAAAGGAAUUGACGGGGGCCCGCACAAGCGGUGGAGCAUGUGGUUUAAUUCGAAGCAACGCGAAGAACCUUACCAGGUCUUGACAUCCUCUGACAACCCUAGAGAUAGGGCUUUCCCUUCGGGGACAGAGUGACAGGUGGUGCAUGGUUGUCGUCAGCUCGUGUCGUGAGAUGUUGGGUUAAGUCCCGCAACGAGCGCAACCCUUGAUCUUAGUUGCCAGCAUUCAGUUGGGCACUCUAAGGUGACUGCCGGUGACAAACCGGAGGAAGGUGGGGAUGACGUCAAAUCAUCAUGCCCCUUAUGACCUGGGCUACACACGUGCUACAAUGGACAGAACAAAGGGCUGCAAGACCGCAAGGUUUAGCCAAUCCCAUAAAUCUGUUCUCAGUUCGGAUCGCAGUCUGCAACUCGACUGCGUGAAGCUGGAAUCGCUAGUAAUCGCGGAUCAGCAUGCCGCGGUGAAUACGUUCCCGGGCCUUGUACACACCGCCCGUCACACCACGAGAGUUUGCAACACCCGAAGUCGGUGAGGUAACCUUUAUGAGCCA
Molecule: ribosomal RNA, 1119 nt
Filed under: Bacillus sp. CRRI-106_SA6
Lineage: Bacteria; Bacillati; Bacillota; Bacilli; Caryophanales; Bacillaceae
Description: bacterial SSU rRNA
Rfam family: Bacterial small subunit ribosomal RNA
Source: RNAcentral